UACGUAGGGCGCAAGCGUUGUCCGGAAUUAUUGGGCGUAAAGAGCUCGUAGGCGGCUUGUCACGUCGGGUGUGAAAGCCCGGGGCUUAACCCCGGGACUGCAUUCGAUACGGGCAGGCUAGAGUGUGGUAGGGGAGAUCGGAAUUCCUGGUGUAGCGGUGAAAUGCGCAGAUAUCAGGAGGAACACCGGUGGCGAAGGCGGAUCUCUGGGCCAUUACUGACGCUGAGGAGCGAAAGCGUGGGGAGCGAACAGG
RNAcentral lists this ribosomal RNA (253 nucleotides) under uncultured bacterium. Its description in RNAcentral is "partial 16S ribosomal RNA". It matches the Rfam family "Bacterial small subunit ribosomal RNA", at positions 524 to 776 of the family's 1533-position model. The record is from RNAcentral.